UAAGGAAUAUUGGACAAUGGGCGCAAGCCUGAUCCAGCCAUGCCGCGUGAAGGAUUAAGGCCCUAUGGGUCGUAAACUUCUUUUAUACGGGACAAAACCCCUCUACGUGUAGAGGGUUGAUGGUACUGUAAGAAUAAGGGUCGGCUAACUUCGUGCCAGCAGCCGCGGUAAUACGAAGGACCCGAGCGUUAUCCGGAUUUAUUGGGUUUAAAGGGUGCGUAGGCGGACUUAUAAGUCAGUGGUGAAAUCUCCAGGCUUAACCUGGAAACUGCCAUUGAAACUGUUUGUCUUGAGUACAUUUGAGGCGGGCGGAAUGUGUCAUGUAGAGGUGAAAUUCUUAGAUAUGACACAGAACACCAAUUGCGAAGGCAGCUCGCUAAACUGUAACUGACGCUGAUGCACGAAAGCGUGGGUAGCAAACAG
Molecule: ribosomal RNA, 423 nt
Filed under: uncultured bacterium
Lineage: Bacteria
Description: bacterial SSU rRNA
Rfam family: Bacterial small subunit ribosomal RNA
Source: RNAcentral